This 30-nucleotide non-coding RNA is filed under the name Bombyx mori (domestic silkworm). Lineage: Eukaryota; Metazoa; Arthropoda; Insecta; Lepidoptera; Bombycidae. The record is from RNAcentral.
UGAAUUCCGGCAGCCAACGGACGUGGCUUG